This 209-nucleotide ribosomal RNA is filed under the name uncultured bacterium. Its description in RNAcentral is "partial 16S ribosomal RNA". It matches the Rfam family "Bacterial small subunit ribosomal RNA", at positions 568 to 776 of the family's 1533-position model. The record is from RNAcentral.
AGCGUAGACGGAUGGACAAGUCUGAUGUGAAAGACCGGGGCUCAACCCCGGGACUGCAUUGGAAACUGUCAAUCUAGAGUACCGGAGGGGUAAGUGGAAUUCCUAGUGUAGCGGUGAAAUGCGUAGAUAUUAGGAGGAACACCAGUGGCGAAGGCGGCUUACUGGACGGUAACUGACGUUGAGGCUCGAAAGCGUGGGGAGGCAAAACA